UUGGGGAAUUUGGGAUUUCUGGGAUUUUGGGGAAUUUAGGAUUGGGAUUUCUGGGAAUUGGGCCCAGCAUUCCCAGGGAAUUUGGGAUUGGGAUUUCUGGGAAUUUGGGAUUUCUGGGAUUUUGGGGAAUUUGGGAUUGGGAUUUCUGGGAUUUGGGGGAAUUUGGGAUUGGGAUUUUGGGGAAUUUGGGGAAUUUGGGAUUGGGAUUUGGGAAUUUGGGAUUUCUGUGAGUCCCCGGUUUCCGUUUCCCGCAGAUCCCUCGGGGUUCGUGUUCGAUUCUCGCUCCGGGGCCGUGCGGGCUCAGGGCGGCGCCGAGAACAUGAGGGAGAAGGUGCAGGCCGUGCGCGCGGUCGUUCCCAACCGCAGCAACACCGAG
Molecule: long non-coding RNA, 376 nt
Filed under: Zonotrichia albicollis (white-throated sparrow)
Lineage: Eukaryota; Metazoa; Chordata; Aves; Passeriformes; Passerellidae
Description: lncRNA (ENSZALG00000001116.1)
Source: RNAcentral